CUACGGGAGGCAGCAGUGGGGAAUAUUGCACAAUGGGCGCAAGCCUGAUGCAGCCAUGCCGCGUGUAUGAAGAAGGCCUUCGGGUUGUAAAGUACUUUCAGCGGGGAGGAAGGGAGUAAAGUUAAUACCUUUGCUCAUUGACGUUACCCGCAGAAGAAGCACCGGCAACUCCGUGCCAGCAGCCGCGGUAAUACGGAGGGUGCAAGCGUUAAUCGGAAUUACUGGGCGUAAAGCGCACGCAGGCGGUUUGUUAAAUCAGAUGUGAAAUCCCCGGGCUCAACCUGGGAACUGCAUCUGAUACUGGCAAGCUUGAGUCUCGUAGAGGGGGGUAGAAUUCCAGGUGUAGCGGUGAAAUGCGUAGAGAUCUGGAGGAAUACCGGUGGCGAAGGCGGCCCCCUGGACGAAGACUGACGCUCAGGUGCGAAAGCGUGGGGAGCAAACAGGAUUAGAUACCCUAGUAGUC
This 463-nucleotide ribosomal RNA is filed under the name uncultured bacterium. RNAcentral's name for it is "partial 16S ribosomal RNA". It matches the Rfam family "Bacterial small subunit ribosomal RNA", at positions 339 to 795 of the family's 1533-position model. The record is from RNAcentral.